Molecule: long non-coding RNA, 611 nt
Filed under: Chloebia gouldiae (Gouldian finch)
Lineage: Eukaryota; Metazoa; Chordata; Aves; Passeriformes; Passeridae
Description: Erythrura gouldiae (Gouldian finch) lncRNA (ENSEGOG00005007091.1)
Source: RNAcentral
CAGGGCCCAGCAGCAGGGCUGGUUCUUGUCUGGGUUCCACCUACCCCCUGCCCAGGAGAGCAGGGCUGGGCAUCCUCUGGACAUGCCCUGGGCUCCCACAGGCGCUGGUGGGGACUGGGGUACUGCUGGUGCUCAUCUUCUUCCCCCUUGCCUGAUGGCAUGGGAGGAAUCUCAUGCAGAGGAUUCCACAUCUAAGGAACUCCAUAAUGAAGGAGGUUAUCAUCCAGGAGUUAUGCCCAGCUUGCUUUUAAACCUGCAAAGGGAAGAUAAUGUGAACAAAGCAGUGAUGGCUCUCAGGUUCCUCCCCAGGCAUCAGGAGAGGAGUGGGGCUGUUUUGGAUCACCUGAGCACAGGGCUGGAUGCAACUGGGUGCUCAACAUCUAAAAGGGAUGGCGAAAUAAAUUACACAGAUCUCUGUGCAAGUCUGAUCAAGCUCUGAAAGGUGAGCUCACCCAUGACUCUUGCUCUCCAGCAGUGCUCAGCAGCUCCUGGGAGACCUGGAGAUCUCCGUGGCCAUCCCCUUCUGCCAGUUGGGGUUUAGACAUCUUCCCCUUGUCCCUUCAGUUGGUCUCCAAAGAGCUGCAUUUCAGUUUAGUGCCACUUUUGGAAAU